CGGAGGAUCCGAGCGUUAUCCGGAUUUAUUGGGUUUAAAGGGUGCGUAGGCGGCCUGUUAAGUCAGGGGUGAAAGACGGUAGCUCAACUAUCGCAGUGCCCUUGAUACUGAUGGGCUUGAAUGUACUAGAGGUAGGCGGAAUGUGACAAGUAGCGGUGAAAUGCAUAGAUAUGUCACAGAACACCAAUUGCGAAGGCAGCUUACUAAGGUAUUAUUGACGCUGAGGCACGAAAGCGUGGGGGAUCAAACAGGAUUAGAUACCCUGGUAGUCCACGCCCUAAACGAUGAAUACUCGAUGUUAGCGAUAUACAGUUAGCGUCAAAGCGAAAGCGUUAAGUAUUCCACCUGGGGAGUACGCCCGCAAGGGUG
Molecule: ribosomal RNA, 369 nt
Filed under: uncultured organism
Description: bacterial SSU rRNA
Rfam family: Bacterial small subunit ribosomal RNA
Source: RNAcentral